This 440-nucleotide ribosomal RNA is filed under the name uncultured bacterium. RNAcentral describes it as "partial 16S ribosomal RNA". It matches the Rfam family "Bacterial small subunit ribosomal RNA", at positions 338 to 795 of the family's 1533-position model. The record is from RNAcentral.
CCUACGGGAGGCAGCAGUAGGGAAUAUUGCUCAAUGGGGGAAACCCUGAAGCAGCAACGCCGCGUGGAGGAUGAAGGUUUUCGGAUUGUAAACUCCUUUUGUUAGAGAAGAUAAUGACGGUAUCUAACGAAUAAGCACCGGCUAACUCCGUGCCAGCAGCCGCGGUAAUACGGAGGGUGCAAGCGUUACGCGGAAUCACUGGGCGUAAGGAGCGCGUAGGCGGGAUAGCAAGUCAGAUGUGAAAUCCUAUGGCUUAACCAUAGAACUGCAUUUGAAACUGUUAUUCUAGAGUAUGGGAGAGGUAGGUGGAAUGCUUGGUGUAGGGGUAAAAUCCGUAGAGAUCAAGAGGAAUACUCAUUGCGAAGGCGACCUGCUAGAACAUAACUGACGCUGAUGCGCGAAAGCGUGGGGAGCAAACAGGAUUAGAGACCCGAGUAGUC